CAAUAGGGAAUCUUCCACAAUGGACGAAAGUCUGAUGGAGCAACGCCGCGUGAGUGAAGAAGGGUUUCGGCUCGUAAACUCUGUUGUUAAAGAAGAACAUAUCUGAGAGUAACUGUUCAGGUAUUGACGGUAUUUAACCAGAAAGCCACGGCUAACUACGUGUCAG
This 166-nucleotide ribosomal RNA is filed under the name uncultured bacterium. RNAcentral describes it as "partial 16S ribosomal RNA". It matches the Rfam family "Bacterial small subunit ribosomal RNA", at positions 352 to 511 of the family's 1533-position model. The record is from RNAcentral.